GUGCUGCAUGGCUGUCGUCAGCGUCCCCACCUAUGACCCGUCGGUUCGAUCGGUAGCUCCAUCUCCUGACCGCAAGCAGCUGACGGCCGCGGUCCUUGUUCCCAUCCGUUGGCCGUGGGGACAUCAUGAGCUCGCUUCUAGGAGAGGACCUGCGCUCUUGGA
This 162-nucleotide ribosomal RNA is filed under the name uncultured bacterium. Its description in RNAcentral is "partial 16S ribosomal RNA". The record is from RNAcentral.